RNAcentral lists this ribosomal RNA (253 nucleotides) under uncultured bacterium. Its description in RNAcentral is "partial 16S ribosomal RNA". It matches the Rfam family "Bacterial small subunit ribosomal RNA", at positions 524 to 776 of the family's 1533-position model. The record is from RNAcentral.
UACGUAGGGUGCGAGCGUUGUCCGGAAUUAUUGGGCGUAAAGGGCUCGUAGGCGGUCUGUCGCGUCGGGAGUGAAAACUCAGGGCUUAACCCUGAGCCUGCUUUCGAUACGGGCAGACUAGAGGUAUGCAGGGGAGAACGGAAUUCCUGGUGUAGCGGUGAAAUGCGCAGAUAUCAGGAGGAACACCGGUGGCGAAGGCGGGUCUCUGGGCCGAUACUGACGCUGAGGAGCGAAAGCGUGGGGAGCGAACAGG